GCUCAGAAUAGUCCUAAUUUCUGCCCUACGCUUCUGGGUAUUUCCAGCAAGACUGUUGUUAAUUUUUCAGAAAAGCUUCUGGCCUAAUUAGAAGUAAGAUAUCAACAUCUCAAUCAAUAUUUUGCUAGGAUGAAGACAGACGACAUUGUCUUUUACAUUUUUUUUUCUUUAUAUAAGGAUGUGGACAAAAAAUCUGCCAGAUUUGCCUGGACCAAACCCAAACGAGUGAUUUGUGCCCUUCAGCUUUGGAGGCAUCAUUUUAAAAAGCCGUGCUGUCUGCAAACUGCAAGACAGACGACCUGGGCUUUUAAUAAUCCGGAUUGAACAGUAACACAGCAGUUUUGUGGAAUCGGUGGUGUUUCUGGGACCCAAUUCUCAAUUAAAGUGUAGAAGAAAACCUAAAGAUCACUUUGUGCCUACUCAGUCCUUGCCACUCAUUUGGAUUGUGCAAUCCUGCCUGCCCAAGCCAUUCCAAGGUGAACGUGGACAGCAGGUGGCAACAGCAGAGCUUGCAACAUCCUUUGAUUGCAUUCUCCAUUCAAAUAAAUGUCAACCUGUAUUGCAAUCACCGUUUUAGGUCAGAAAGCAUAUCCAUGUUAAUAACUGCAACAGAAGGUUUAAUUGUUUGUGUGGAGUGAGGGAGUGGAGGAACUCAGAAGUAGUAAUUAGCUUGGAGCUACCCAUAAAGUGUGACCUAAGAUUUUUUGUUGUUGGAAUGGGAAUGUGGAAGCACUUUUCACCAUGAAAAAGGUGAAAAAGUCAAAAGUCUUUAUUUCAUCUGAAUGUUUACCUAGUUAAAUAUUAGGGUUGGAAUUGAUAGUAGUAAUGGAGAAGGCAGUAAUGGUGUAGGCGUUAAGAUAAAGAAAUAAGGGGGCAAUUCUGCAGGUGUUAUGAUCAGUUAAAUUUACUGCCAUGAAAGUGAGUGGAAUGAGCAUUUUUUUUUCAAUAAAUGUUGUGGCUUUCCUAGUACAGGACAAAAUGGAUUUUUAUACCAUUUAAUUUUAGUCUCUUAGUUUUGAUGUCUCUCUAGGCUGCAAAGAAACUAAAUGUUUUUAGUUAAAUAAGACAACCUGAAGCUAUAAUUAGUCCUGCCACUAUACUUCUGUGCAUUCUUAUAUUCAGGAGAGAGGACAGCAGCAAAGUAUUACUGACAAGCACUUACUAAAACACAACAUACUUUGGUUUGCCUGUAACAUUUACUAAACAGGAAUGUCACAUGGCCUGAAGAAUGGAAAGGAAACUGUAAAUGGGAACAAAUAUACCUACAC
This is a long non-coding RNA of Cygnus olor (mute swan), 1268 nucleotides long. RefSeq lists it as uncharacterized. The record is from RefSeq and is a predicted model, not a curated record. NCBI's taxonomy places the organism in Eukaryota, Metazoa, Chordata, Aves, Anseriformes, Anatidae. The transcript is spliced from 3 exons.